AUUAAGCAUAUCAUUAAGCGGAGGAAAAGAAACUAACAAGGAUUCCCCCAGUAACGGCGAGUGAAGCGGGAAGAGCUCAAGCUUAAAAUCUCCAUACUUGUAUGGCGAAUUGUAGUCUAUUGAGGCUGUUGUCAGCAUCGCGAUUGGGGACAAGUCCCUUGGAAAAGGGCAGCAUAGAGGGUGAUACUCCCGUCUCUGCUCCAAUCUGCGGUGUGUACGAUACGCUUUCUUUGAGUCGAGUUGUUUGGGAAUACAGCUCAAAGUAGGUGGUAAAUUCCAUCUAAAGCUAAAUAUUGGUGCGAGACCGAUAGCGAACAAGUACCGUGAGGGAAAGAUGAAAAGAACUUUGAAAAGAGAGUUAAAGAGUACCUGAAACUGUUGAAAGGGAACCGUAUCGUUUCCAGUGUUGUAUCCUAUGCAUAUUUCAUUCGCGGAGUAAUUUGCGGGUGCCCUGUGCAUGGGUGUGACGUCAGGGUCAGUUUGUAUGCUGCGGGAGAUGGUCAGUGAGGAGGUGCGUCACUUCGGUGAAAGUUAUAUCUCGCUGUCUAGUAGCCGUGGUUGAGACUGAGGUGCCUACAACAUGCCUUAAGGUUCCGUGUUGUCUCGUGUUGGUGACUGCUUUGAUAGCUUGCUAUGUCUGUGGUUUAUCAGUGCGAUUGAUGAUGCGGAUAACUUUUGCUGUUCGGGACUCUGGCGAAAUGGAGCGAUACGACCCGUCUGA
Molecule: ribosomal RNA, 721 nt
Filed under: Saprolegnia sp. UNCW176
Lineage: Eukaryota; Oomycota; Saprolegniomycetes; Saprolegniales; Saprolegniaceae
Description: eukaryotic LSU rRNA
Rfam family: Eukaryotic large subunit ribosomal RNA
Source: RNAcentral